AACGAACGCUGGCGGCAGGCCUAACACAUGCAAGUCGAACGCCCUGGCAACAGGGAGUGGCAGACGGGUGAGUAACGCGUGGGAACGUGCCCUUCGGUUCGGAAUAACUCAGGGAAACUUGAGCUAAUACCGGAUACGUGCGAGAGCAGAAAGAUUUAUCGCCGAAGGAUCGGCCCGAGUCCGAUUAGCUAGUUGGUGAGGUAACGGCUCACCAAGGCGACGGUCGGUAGCUGGUCUGAGAGGAUGAUCAGCCACACUGGGACUGAGACACGGCCCAGACUCCUACGGGAGGCAGCAGUGGGGAAUAUUGGACAAUGGGCGCAAGCCUGAUCCAGCCAUGCCGCGUGAGUGAUGAAGGCCCUAGGGUUGUAAAGCUCUUUCGCCAGGGACGAUAAUGACGGUACCUGGAUAAGAAGCCCCGGCUGACUUCGUGCCAGCCGCCGCAGUAA
Molecule: ribosomal RNA, 449 nt
Filed under: uncultured bacterium
Lineage: Bacteria
Description: partial 16S ribosomal RNA
Rfam family: Bacterial small subunit ribosomal RNA
Source: RNAcentral